AACGGCCGUACCAUGCUGAAUAUACCGGUUCUCGUUAGAUCACCGAAGUCAAGCAUCAUUGGGCGCGGUCAGUACUUGGGUGGGUGACCACCUGGGAACACCGAGUGCCGUU
This 112-nucleotide ribosomal RNA is filed under the name Caerostris darwini. The record is from RNAcentral. Lineage: Eukaryota; Metazoa; Arthropoda; Arachnida; Araneae; Araneidae.